GCGCGGUUGGUCUAGCGGCUAUGACCUCAGCCUUCCAAGCUGAUGACCCGGGUUCAAAUCCCGGACCGUGCAC
RNAcentral lists this transfer RNA (73 nucleotides) under Halocalculus aciditolerans. RNAcentral's name for it is "tRNA-Gly". It matches the Rfam family "tRNA". Rfam says of the family: Transfer RNA (tRNA) molecules are approximately 80 nucleotides in length. Their secondary structure includes four short double-helical elements and three loops (D, anti-codon, and T loops). Further hydrogen bonds mediate the characteristic L-shaped molecular structure. tRNAs have two regions of fundamental functional importance: the anti-codon, which is responsible for specific mRNA codon recognition, and the 3' end, to which the tRNAs corresponding amino acid is attached (by aminoacyl-tRNA synthetases). tRNAs cope with the degeneracy of the genetic code in two manners: having more than one tRNA (with a specific anti-codon) for a particular amino acid; and 'wobble' base-pairing, i.e. permitting non-standard base-pairing at the 3rd anti-codon position. Lineage: Archaea; Methanobacteriati; Methanobacteriota; Halobacteria; Halobacteriales; Halobacteriaceae. The record is from RNAcentral.